AUGGAAGCAAAUCCCGUCAACCUUCGGCAGGCACCCUUUCCCAUCAAGUCGCCGCCACGUGCUCACUGCCGCAACAACUCCCGGCUCCACCUCCGGCCGAGUCGCCCACUCAAAAACCAAUCCCACCACCGCCUCCGCGUCCAGCGCGCUUACCAGAUGCCACUCUCCUGCUUCGCCAGCGGCCGGGCCGACUCCUCCGCCGCCAAGGCCUCCUCGGCGACGUCCGUCUACUGGACGCACCUCGGCGCGAUCAACCUGUCUUGGUCCCGCGCCGCGCUGGGCCUCGUCCUCACCGUCGACAUCGGCCUCGCCGGCGGCGCCGCGCCCACGCGGUUUGUCCUCCUGCCGCUGCUCCCGUGGCGGCGGCGCGGAUCCAAGCGAUUCUCCGGCGCGUCCGGACAUUCCGUCGCCUUCUCGUGGGACCUCUCGCGCGCCCGCCUCGCGCCGCGCCGGCCCGAGCCGCUGUCCGGGUACUUCGUGCUCGUGUCGAUCGACGGCGAGCUCGCCCUGGCCGCUGGCGACCUCCAGUCGUCCUUGCCUUCGCCGGCGGCGUCGGCUGGACUCCUCCUCUCGCGCCGCGAGAACGCCUACCCCCCAGGAUGCGGCGGCGCGUACACCACCACCGUGGCCGUCGCUGGCGAGGAGCACGAGGUGUCCGUCGCCGUGGAGGAGGCGGCCAUGUGGGUGGCCCUGGACGGCAAGAGGGCCCUCCAGGUCCGGCGCCUCCCGUGGAAGUUCCGCGGCAGCGAGAGGCUCGACCUCCCGCACGGCGGCCGCGCCGUCCGCGUCACGUGGGACCUCCACGGCUGGCUCUUCGCCCCGGACGCCGCCGCCGUCUUCGUCCUCCGUUUCGACACUGACGAGGCGAACCCGGUGGACGACGACGACAUGGAGGAUGGAGACGUCGGCAUGCACGCGUUAAGGCAGAACUCCUUCCGGAGCCGCCAUGCCGACAGCAGCGGCGAGAGCGAUAUGAGGGGAUCUUGGAGGCGCGGGCCGUUCAGGUCGGGCUCGGACUCGUCCCCGACGGUGUCCGUGGCGUCGACGUCCGCGGCGUCGUCGUCGGCCGGCAGCGUGGCGACGGUGACCGAGUGGGUCACGGCGGAAGAGGCCGAGCUGCGGGACGGCGGCGGCGGGUUCUCUCUGAUAAUCUACCUCUGGAAGAAGCGGAGGCCGCGGUGA
RNAcentral lists this ribosomal RNA (1182 nucleotides) under Triticum aestivum (bread wheat). RNAcentral's name for it is "partial small subunit ribosomal RNA". The record is from RNAcentral. Lineage: Eukaryota; Viridiplantae; Streptophyta; Magnoliopsida; Poales; Poaceae.